Molecule: small nucleolar RNA, 133 nt
Filed under: Gallus gallus (chicken)
Lineage: Eukaryota; Metazoa; Chordata; Aves; Galliformes; Phasianidae
Description: GGN4 snoRNA
Rfam family: Small nucleolar RNA SNORA1
About the family: ACA1 is a member of the H/ACA class of snoRNA that guide the sites of modification of uridines to pseudouridines.
Source: RNAcentral
AUGCCUUGUUAUUCAGCAGGUAGACACAACUCCAUGUGUGUCUCAAUUGAACAACGGGGCUAGAAGAGCAACAGGUUGUGCUUUCCUCACUGUAACACCCAUUGCAGUGGUGACAAUGAGACCUGUGACAGGU